Molecule: ribosomal RNA, 458 nt
Filed under: uncultured bacterium
Lineage: Bacteria
Description: bacterial SSU rRNA
Rfam family: Bacterial small subunit ribosomal RNA
Source: RNAcentral
UACGGGAGGCAGCAGUGGGGAAUAUUGCACAAUGGGCGCAAGCCUGAUGCAGCCAUGCCGCGUGUAUGAAAAAGGCCUUCGGGUUGUAAAGUACUUUCAGUCGUGAGGAAGGUGUUAAGGUUAAUAACCUUAGCAAUUGACGUUAGCGACAGAAGAAGCACCGGCUAACUCCGUGCCAGCAGCCGCGGUAAUACGGAGGGUGCGAGCGUUAAUCGGAAUUACUGGGCGUAAAGGGCACGCAGGCGGUUAAUUAAGUUUGGAUGUGAAAUCCCCCGGGCUUAACCUGGGAAUGGCAUUCAAGACUGGUUAGCUAGAGUCUUGUAGAGGGGGUAGAAUUCCAUGUGUAGCGGUGAAAUGCGUAGAGAUGUGGAGGAAUACCGGUGGCGGAAGGCGGGCCCCGUGGACAAAGACUGACGCUCAUGUGCGAAAGCGUGGGGAGCAAACAGGGAUUAGAUACC